Molecule: ribosomal RNA, 694 nt
Filed under: uncultured Bacteroidales bacterium
Lineage: Bacteria; Pseudomonadati; Bacteroidota; Bacteroidia; Bacteroidales
Description: bacterial SSU rRNA
Rfam family: Bacterial small subunit ribosomal RNA
Source: RNAcentral
AACGCUAGCUACAGGCUUAACACAUGCAAGUCGAGGGGCAGCAGGGAUUUAGCUUGCUAAAUUCGCUGGCGACCGGCGCACGGGUGCGUAACGCGUAUCCAACUUUCCCGUUACUCUGGGAUAGCCUUCCGAAAGGGAGAUUAAUACGAGAUGGUGUUUUAAUUUCGCAUGUUAUUAAAACUAAAGAUUUAUCGGUAACGGAUAGGGAUGCGUGACAUUAGAUAGUUGGCGGGGUAACGGCCCACCAAGUCAACGAUGUCUAGGGGUUCUGAGAGGAAGGUCCCCCACACUGGAACUGAGACACGGUCCAGACUCCUACGGGAGGCAGCAGUGAGGAAUAUUGGUCAAUGGCCGAGAGGCUGAACCAGCCAAGUAGCGUGAAGGAUGAAGGUUCUAUGGAUUGUAAACUUCUUUUAUACGGGAAUAACAUCACCUACGUGUAGGUGCCUGCAUGUACCGUAUGAAUAAGCAUCGGCUAACUCCGUGCCAGCAGCCGCGGUAAUACGGAGGAUGCGAGCGUUAUCCGGAUUUAUUGGGUUUAAAGGGAGCGUAGACGGGAUGUUAAGUCAGCUGUGAAAGCCUGCGGCCCAACCGCAGAACUGCAGUUGAUACUGGCGUUCUUGAGUGCGUACGAGGUAUGUGGAAUUCGUGGUGUAGCGGUGAAAUGCUUAGAUAUCACGAAGAACUCCGAUUG